Molecule: unclassified non-coding RNA, 207 nt
Filed under: Hevea brasiliensis (rubber tree)
Lineage: Eukaryota; Viridiplantae; Streptophyta; Magnoliopsida; Malpighiales; Euphorbiaceae
Source: RNAcentral
AGAUUAUCUUCAUUGUUUACCCAAAGAGGAGCGAGAGAAUAAUUUGCACCUCAGUACUGAGUCUCGUCACAUAUGAGGCCGUAUAAGAAGCCUAAGGUGACACAUGAAUUUGUAGAGUAAGGAGCAUAUUUGCUCCUUUAAGUGUAUCAACUGUAGCUUAACACAACAUAAAUAAGGAUAUUGAAGAACCAAUACUCAAAACAGAGA